Molecule: signal recognition particle RNA, 297 nt
Filed under: Saimiri boliviensis boliviensis (Bolivian squirrel monkey)
Lineage: Eukaryota; Metazoa; Chordata; Mammalia; Primates; Cebidae
Description: Metazoan signal recognition particle RNA (ENSSBOG00000003346.1)
Rfam family: Metazoan signal recognition particle RNA
About the family: The signal recognition particle (SRP) is a universally conserved ribonucleoprotein. It is involved in the co-translational targeting of proteins to membranes.
Source: RNAcentral
ACCAGGUGCAGUGGCACGUGCUUGUAGUCCCAGCUACUCGCAAGGCUGAGGUGGGAGGAUCACUUGAGCCCAGGAGUUCUGGGCUGUAGUGUGCUAUGCUGAUCAGGUGUCCGCACUAAGUUCAGCAUCAAUCUGGUGACCUCCCAGGAGCAGGGGACCACCAGCUUGCCUAAGGAGGGAUGAACCGGCCCAGGUUGGAAACAGAGCACGUCAAAACUCUUGUGCUGAUCAGUAGUGGGAUCAUGCCUGUGAAUAGCCACUGCUCCAGCCUGGGCAACAUAGCAAGACUCCGUAUCU